This 1885-nucleotide unclassified non-coding RNA is filed under the name Ixodes scapularis (black-legged tick). Its description in RNAcentral is "mitochondrial tRNA methylthiotransferase CDK5RAP1, transcript variant X1". Lineage: Eukaryota; Metazoa; Arthropoda; Arachnida; Ixodida; Ixodidae. The record is from RNAcentral.
CGCUCCCUGGACAUGCUGUUUGGUUGCUUCGGUUGUGAAUCAGAAAGUUGAAGCUUAACCAGCUUAAUUGCGGUGAUAUCCACCAACUGGUUGUGGACCAGUUUUAAUUCAUCGUCUUAAGGACGCUAUGUUAGCGAGGCAUGUGGAGCUCCUGCGGGCCGCGUAUCGCUGCCUCGGUCAUAGCAGCGUGCGCUCGCAGACGUUAUGCUCGUCGUCUGCACCAACACGCAGGGACGGAGACGUCGAGAAGGUGAAACGCAACAUCGAAAACGGGCCGUCGCUGCAGCAUUUCAUCGCAAACUCGCUCAGCGAGAAGCAGAACGACCUGACUGAAGGUGCAGAAGCGCCUCAUCCCUACGUUCGAGAGCCGGACGUGCGAGUGCGGAACAGGAGCGUCUACUUUGAAACCUACGGAUGCCAGAUGAAUGUCAACGACACAGAAGUGGCCUGGUCUGUUCUGAAGAGCGCCGGGUUUACAAAGACGGAAGACGUGAAUGUGGCUGACGUCGUUCUCAUCAUGACCUGUGCCAUCCGCGAGGGUGCAGAGUCCAAAAUCUGGUCGAGGAUAAACCAGCUAAAGGCCCUCAAGAAGGCCCGCAGGAGGAGUUCAAGAGGACCCAUGCAGAUUGGAAUACUCGGGUGCAUGGCUGAGCGGCUGAAGGAGAAGCUGGUGGAGCGCGAGAAGGAAGUGGAUAUUGUGGCGGGCCCCGACAGCUACAGGGACCUGCCGAGGCUCCUCAGGGUUGCCACCUCGGGUCAGGUUGGGGUAAACGUCUUGCUGUCAUUGGACGAAACCUACGCAGACGUUGUUCCUGUCAGGCUGACAGAAAAUGCCAAGAGUGCCUAUGUUUCCAUAAUGCGGGGCUGCAACAACAUGUGUACAUACUGCAUCGUGCCAUUCACGCGCGGCCGGGAACGGAGCCGCCCGGUCACCUCUAUCUUGGACGAAGUUCGGGCGCUUUCGGACCAGGGUGUCAAAGAAGUGAUCCUGCUUGGACAGAACGUCAACAGCUAUAGGGACACGUCAGCCGAAAGUCAGGCGCUGAUCGCACGCCCCGCAGCGGGGGACGGACUCCUGAGUCGCGGGUUCCGCACCGUCUACAAGACGCAGUUGGGCGGCGUGAGGUUUGCGGAUCUCUUGGACAGAGUCUCCCAGGUGGACCCCGAAAUGCGGAUCCGCUUCACGUCCCCUCAUCCGAAGGACUUUCCCGAUCAGGUGUUGGAGGUGAUCCAGGACCGGCACAACAUCUGCAAGCAGAUCCACCUGCCCGCUCAGAGUGGAAACUCCCGGGUGCUGGAGACCAUGCGCAGGGGCUACACCAGGGAAGCCUACCUCGACCUCGUGGCCCAUAUUCGCACCUUCCUGCCAGACGUGGCCCUGACGAGCGACUUCAUCUGCGGCUUCUGUGGGGAGACGGAGGAAGCCCACCGGGACACCCUAUCCCUGGUGGAGGCAGUCCAGUACGACAUGGCCUACGUAUUCCCCUACAGCCUCCGAGAGAAGACCCACGCGCACCGUCGACUUGAAGACGACGUGCCCCUGGAGGUGAAGAAGAGGCGGGUGGCUGAAGUGCUGGCCAUGUUCCGCCGCCGCGUGAAGCAGCUUCAUGACAAGGAAGUCGGAUUGCUCCAGUUGGUCCUGGUGGAAGGGGGUGACAUAUGGACGCUGAGUGAAACAAGCCAGACAAAAUGACAACUUGAUGUAGCAAGGUGACACUUUCGUCGAGGCGUGUUUCAGUGACUUGUCUUACGGUCAGCCGACGAUCGGCCGCCGACCUGGCAGGCCGUAACGACAACAACACCAAAGUCAUUUUUCCCCAAUCCUUGAUCCCGGAGUCUUCAGGGUCUACGGUUCGGAGAGAAGUCCAACCUGGGGACUACGUGG